CGGCGAGUGAAGCAGCAAUAGCUCAGAUUUGAAAUCUGGCGUCUUCGACGUCCGAGUUGUAAUUUGUAGAGGAUGCUUCUGAGUGGCCACCGACCUAAGUUCCUUGGAACAGGACGUCAUAGAGGGUGAGAAUCCCGUAUGCGGUCGGAAAGGCGCUCUAUACGUAGCUCCUUCGACGAGUCGAGUUGUUUGGGAAUGCAGCUCUAAAUGGGAGGUAAAUUUCUUCUAAAGCUAAAUAUUGGCCAGAGACCGAUAGCGCACAAGUAGAGUGAUCGAAAGAUGAAAAGCACUUUGGAAAGAGAGUUAAAAAGCACGUGAAAUUGUUAAAAGGGAAGGGAUUGCAACCAGACUUGCUCGCGGUGUUCCGCCGGUCUUCUGACCGGUCUACUCGCCGCGUUGCAGGCCAGCAUCGUCUGGUGCCGCUGGAUAAGACUUGAGGAAUGUAGCUCCCUCGGGAGUGUUAUAGCCUCUUGUGAUGCAGCGAGCGCCGGGCGAGGUCCGCGCUUCGGCUAGGAUGCUGGCGUAAUGGUCGUAAUCCGCCCGUCUUGAAACACGGACCAAGGAGUCUAACAUCUAUGCGAGUGUUCGGGUGUCAAACCCCUACGCGUAAUGAAAGUGAACGGAGGUGAGAACCGCAAGGUGCAUCAUCGACCGAUCCUGAUGUCUUCGGAUGGAUUUGAGUAAGAGCAUAGCUGUUGGGACCCGAAAGAUGGUGAACUAUGCCUGAAUAGGGUGAAGCCAGAGGAAACUCUGGUGGAGGCUCGCAGCGGUUCUGACGUGCAAAUCGAUCGUCAAAUUUGGGUAUAGGGGCGAAAGACUAAUCGAACCAUCUAGUAGCUGGUUCCUGCCGAAGU
Molecule: ribosomal RNA, 854 nt
Filed under: Cladosporium allicinum
Lineage: Eukaryota; Fungi; Ascomycota; Dothideomycetes; Cladosporiales; Cladosporiaceae
Description: LSU rRNA
Rfam family: Eukaryotic large subunit ribosomal RNA
Source: RNAcentral